This 243-nucleotide non-coding RNA is filed under the name Lactobacillus apis. RNAcentral describes it as "T-box sequence". It matches the Rfam family "T-box leader". From Rfam's summary of the family: Uncharged tRNA acts as the effector for transcription antitermination of genes in the T-box leader family. T-boxes are found upstream of many aminoacyl-tRNA synthetase genes and some amino acid biosynthetic genes usually in Gram-positive bacteria. The record is from RNAcentral. Lineage: Bacteria; Bacillati; Bacillota; Bacilli; Lactobacillales; Lactobacillaceae.
UAAUACAUCUUGAAAAGCAGAGUAACUAUUAUGAUUACUGAUAAAGAGAGCUGGGAUUUUGGUGAGACUCAGCCAGUUAGUAGUGGUGAACAUGGGCUCGAAAUGAUGACCGUUAGUGAUAUUUAGCUACCGGCGGAGUUGCAUCCGUUAGCAUUGCAAGCUAUUGAUUGAUAGCUAGUGAGAGAUUUAUUACGUGAGUAAUAAAUAAUUUAAAGGUGGUAACGCGAAGCACUCGUCCUUAUG